RNAcentral lists this transfer RNA (73 nucleotides) under Wolfiporia cocos MD-104 SS10. RNAcentral's name for it is "tRNA-Phe (GAA) (tRNA-Phe-GAA-1-1, tRNA-Phe-GAA-1-2)". It matches the Rfam family "tRNA". Rfam says of the family: Transfer RNA (tRNA) molecules are approximately 80 nucleotides in length. The record is from RNAcentral. Lineage: Eukaryota; Fungi; Basidiomycota; Agaricomycetes; Polyporales; Phaeolaceae.
GCCGGGAUAGCUCAGCUGGGAGAGCAGUAGACUGAAGUUCUAAAGGUCCCGUGUUCGAUCCACGGUCCUGGCA